This 459-nucleotide ribosomal RNA is filed under the name Goniomonas pacifica. Its description in RNAcentral is "partial Eukaryotic small subunit ribosomal RNA". It matches the Rfam family "Eukaryotic small subunit ribosomal RNA", at positions 1325 to 1805 of the family's 1831-position model. The record is from RNAcentral. Lineage: Eukaryota; Cryptophyceae; Goniomonadida; Goniomonadaceae.
CCGAUAACGAACGAGACCUCAGCCUGCUAACUAGCUACGCGGAGGUUCCCCUUCGCGGCCAGCUUCUUAGAGGGACUAUGGCCGUUUAGGCCAUGGAAGUUUGAGGCAAUAACAGGUCUGUGAUGCCCUUAGAUGUCCUGGGCCGCACGCGCGCUACACUGACACCUGCAACGAGCGUAGAACCUUGGCCGAGAGGCCUGGGUAAUCUUUGGAACGGGUGUCGUGAUAGGGACAGAUUAUUGCAAUUAUUAAUCUCGAACGAGGAAUUCCUAGUAAACGCGAAUCAUCAGUUCGCAUUGAUUACGUCCCUGCCCUUUGUACACACCGCCCGUCGCACCUACCGAUUGAAUGAUUCGGUGAAGAUUCGGGACUGUGCCUGCGCUGCGCAAGCAGCUCUGGCGUGGGAACUUAUCUAAACCUCAUCAUUUAGAGGAAGGUGAAGUCGUAACAAGGUUUCCG